AUCCAGCCAUGCCGCGUGCAGGAUGAAGGCCUUCGGGUUGUAAACUGCUUUUGUACGGAACGAAAAGACUCUGGUUAAUACCUGGGGUCCAUGACGGUACCGUAAGAAUAAGCACCGGCUAACUACGUGCCAGCAGCCGCGGUAAUACGUAGGGUGCAAGCGUUAAUCGGAAUUACUGGGCGUAAAGCGUGCGCAGGCGGUUAUAUAAGACAGAUGUGAAAUCCCCGGGCUCAACCUGGGAACUGCAUUUGUGACUGUAUAGCUAGAGUACGGCAGAGGGGGAUGGAAUUCCGCGUGUAGCAGUGAAAUGCGUAGAUAUGCGGAGGAACACCGAUGGCGAAGGCAAUCCCCUGGGCCUGUACUGACGCUCAUGCACGAAAGCGUGGGGAGCAAACAGGAUUAGAUACCCUGGUAGUCCACGCCCUAAACGAUGUCAACUGGUUGUUGGGUCUUCACUGACUCAGUAACGAAGCUAACGCGUGAAGUUGACCGCCUGGGGAGUACGGCCG
RNAcentral lists this ribosomal RNA (509 nucleotides) under uncultured bacterium. RNAcentral describes it as "bacterial SSU rRNA". It matches the Rfam family "Bacterial small subunit ribosomal RNA", at positions 386 to 888 of the family's 1533-position model. The record is from RNAcentral.